UACGAACCGUCCAAACGUUAUUCGGAAUUACUGGGCUUAAAGGGUACGUAGGCGGCGCUGUUAGUCGGGUGUGAAAGCCCACGGCUCAACCGUGGAAUUGCGCCCGAUACUGCAGUGCUUGAGGGAGACAGAGGUAAGCGGAACUGAUGGUGGAGCGGUGAAAUGCGUUGAUAUCAUCAGGAACACCGGUGGCGAAAGCGGCUUACUGGGUCUCUUCUGACGCUGAGGUACGAAAGCUAGGGUAGCGAAGGGG
RNAcentral lists this ribosomal RNA (253 nucleotides) under uncultured bacterium. RNAcentral describes it as "partial 16S ribosomal RNA". It matches the Rfam family "Bacterial small subunit ribosomal RNA", at positions 524 to 776 of the family's 1533-position model. The record is from RNAcentral.